CUGGACCUGGAUGCGCUGAGUGAGAACAAGAUCGGGGACGAGGGUGUCUCACAGCUCUCAGCCACCUUCCCCCAGCUGAAGUCCUUGGAAACCCUCAAACAAGGGCUCGCUGUGUCACCCAGGCUAGAAUAUAGUGCUAUGAUCAUAUCUCUGCAGCCUUGAACUCCUGGCCUCAAGGAAUCUCCUCACCUCCACUUCCCAAAGUGCUGGGAUUAUACCAUGCCCAGCCCCAGUGGAUUCAUCCAUUCACUCAUUCACCUAUUCAAUCAGCCAUUCAUCCUUCCAUUCAAUGAUUCAUCCAUUCACUCAUGCAGUCAUUUCUUUACUCCCUCAUCCAACCACUCACUCAAUCAUUUCUUUAUUUAAUUAUCCAACCAUUUAUUAAUUUAAUCAACAAAUAUUUAAGGAGGACCUACUAUGUGCAGGCACCUUUCUAGGCCCUGGAGACCCAGCUUUAAACAAAACAAAUAAAUCCCCUGACCUCAGGAAUCUUAAAUUCUAGUGAGGAGACACAAUGAACAAGUAAACAAGUCGGUAAUUAUAAAGUAUACAG
RNAcentral lists this small RNA (553 nucleotides) under Pan troglodytes (chimpanzee). Its description in RNAcentral is "processed transcript". The record is from RNAcentral. Lineage: Eukaryota; Metazoa; Chordata; Mammalia; Primates; Hominidae.